Molecule: ribosomal RNA, 502 nt
Filed under: Streptomyces sp. BC583
Lineage: Bacteria; Bacillati; Actinomycetota; Actinomycetes; Kitasatosporales; Streptomycetaceae
Description: bacterial SSU rRNA
Rfam family: Bacterial small subunit ribosomal RNA
Source: RNAcentral
UGUCAUCAUAUCGCUUGCGGGUUCGGUAACAGCAUGCAAGUCGAACGAUGGAUACCCCUUCGGGGUGGAUUAUUGGCGAACGGGUGAGUAGACACUUGGGCAAUCUGCCCUUCACUCUGGGACAAGACCCUGGAAACGGGGUCUAAUACCGGAUAACACUCUGUCCCGCAUGGGACGGGGUUAAAAUCUCCGGCGGUGAAGGAUGAGCCACGCGGCCUAUCAGCUUGUUGGUGGGGUAAUGGCCUACCAAGGCGAACAACGGGUAUCCGGCCUGAAAGGGCGACCGGCCACACUGGGACUGAAACACGGCCCAAACUCCUACGGGAGGCAGCAUUUGGGGAAUAUUGCACAAUGGGCGAAAGCCUGAUGCAGCGACUCCGCGUGAGGGAUGACGGCCUUCGGGUUGUAAACCUCUUUCAGCAGGGAACAAGCAAAAUUGACGGUACCUGCAAAAGAAAGCGCCGGCUAACUACUUGCCCAGCAGCCGCGGUGAAUACUUAGG